CCUACGGGAGGCAGCAGUAGGGAAUCUUCGGCAAUGGACGAAAGUCUGACCGAGCAACGCCGCGUGAGUGAAGAAGGUUUUCGGAUCGUAAAACUCUGUUGUUAGAGAAGAACAAGGAUGAGAGUAACUGUUCAUCCCUUGACGGUAUCUAACCAGAAAGCCACGGCUAACUACGUGCCAGCAGCCGCGGUAAUACGUAGGUGGCAAGCGUUGUCCGGAUUUAUUGGGCGUAAAGCGAGCGCAGGCGGUUUCUUAAGUCUGAUGUGAAAGCCCCCGGCUCAACCGGGGAGGGUCAUUGGAAACUGGGAGACUUGAGUGCAGAAGAGGAGAGUGGAAUUCCAUGUGUAGCGGUGAAAUGCGUAGAUAUAUGGAGGAACACCAGUGGCGAAGGCGGCUCUCUGGUCUGUAACUGACGCUGAGGCUCGAAAGCGUGGGGAGCAAACAGGAUUAGAUACCCUAGUAGUC
This 465-nucleotide ribosomal RNA is filed under the name uncultured Enterococcus sp. Its description in RNAcentral is "bacterial SSU rRNA". It matches the Rfam family "Bacterial small subunit ribosomal RNA", at positions 338 to 795 of the family's 1533-position model. The record is from RNAcentral. Lineage: Bacteria; Bacillati; Bacillota; Bacilli; Lactobacillales; Enterococcaceae.